Molecule: transfer RNA, 75 nt
Filed under: uncultured Solirubrobacteraceae bacterium
Lineage: Bacteria; Bacillati; Actinomycetota; Thermoleophilia; Solirubrobacterales; Solirubrobacteraceae
Description: tRNA-Gln-CTG
Rfam family: tRNA
About the family: Transfer RNA (tRNA) molecules are approximately 80 nucleotides in length. Their secondary structure includes four short double-helical elements and three loops (D, anti-codon, and T loops).
Source: RNAcentral
UCCGGGAUGGUGUAAUUGGCAACACGCCAGUCUCUGGAUCUGGAAUUUGGGGUUCGAGUCCCUGUCCCGGAGCCU